This 331-nucleotide ribosomal RNA is filed under the name uncultured eukaryote. RNAcentral's name for it is "partial 18S ribosomal RNA". It matches the Rfam family "Eukaryotic small subunit ribosomal RNA", at positions 1470 to 1796 of the family's 1831-position model. The record is from RNAcentral.
CCCUUAGAUGUUCUGGGCUGCACACGUGCUACACUGGCAGGUUCAGCGAGCUUCAUGCCCUGAUCUGAAAGGAAUGGGAAAUCUUUUCAAAACCUGCCGUGCUUGGGAUAGAUGUUUGCAAUUAUUCAUCUUCAACGAGGAUUGCCUUGUAAGCGCACGUCAUCAGCGUGCAUUGAAUACGACCCUGUAUUCUGUACACACCGCCCGUCGCUCCUACCGAUUGGAUGUUCCGAUGAAUACCAUAGACUGAGAGUAUGAAUGGGUUCGCCUAUUUCUGCUUCUCGGGAAGUGGAGUAAAUCUUAACAUUUAGAGGAAGGAGAAGUCGUAACA